Molecule: long non-coding RNA, 366 nt
Organism: Amphimedon queenslandica
Lineage: Eukaryota; Metazoa; Porifera; Demospongiae; Haplosclerida; Niphatidae
Exons: 3
Source: RefSeq, a predicted model, not a curated record
ACAUGAUACAUGUACAUGGAGCUGUAUGUAUAUUGUUUUGCGCGGGAAAAUCUCAUGAAAAACCAGCCGCAAAUUUAUUCAGUGGACCCAGUAGGCGGAGCUUCUUGUCCUCGUGGAAAAAGCGUUUCUCUUUCUCUCUUUCUCUGAUUCUGAUCGUACCCUGGCCUACUAGGAGAAGUAAUGGCGAGUAAAGAUCCAAAGACACCUACUAAGGAAGGAGAGGUUGCAAGUGAAGGCAAUGAAGAAGAACCAACUGCUCUGUAUGAUCAGCCAUUGAUAGUGGAGGGUAAAAGGAAGAGAAGAAGUGUUGACCUUUUUGCGUUCUCAUCUCCUCGAGAGGCUCAGAAGACACCAAAGGAAACUCAA